GCUGGCGUAGCUCAACGGUAGAGCACCUGCUUUGUAACCAGGUGGCUGUGGGUUCGACUCCCACCGCCAGCU
Molecule: transfer RNA, 72 nt
Filed under: Myxococcales bacterium
Lineage: Bacteria; Pseudomonadati; Myxococcota; Myxococcia; Myxococcales
Description: tRNA-Thr
Rfam family: tRNA
About the family: Transfer RNA (tRNA) molecules are approximately 80 nucleotides in length. Their secondary structure includes four short double-helical elements and three loops (D, anti-codon, and T loops).
Source: RNAcentral